UACGUUCCCGGGUCUUGUACACGCCGCCCGUCACACCAUGGGAGCGGGUUUUACCAGAAGUAGGUAGCUUAACCGCAAGGGGGGCGCUUACCACGGUAGGAUUCGUGACUGGGGUG
RNAcentral lists this ribosomal RNA (116 nucleotides) under uncultured bacterium. RNAcentral describes it as "partial 16S ribosomal RNA". It matches the Rfam family "Bacterial small subunit ribosomal RNA", at positions 1367 to 1482 of the family's 1533-position model. The record is from RNAcentral.